GAUGAACGCUAGCGGCAGGCUUAAUACAUGCAAGUCGUGGGCAGCAUGAGUAGCAAUACUUGAUGGCGACCGGCAAACGGGUGAGGAACACGUACACAACCUUCCUUCAAGCGGGGAAUAGCCCAGAGAAAUUUGGAUUAAUACCCCAUAAUAUAUUUGAUAAGGCAUCUUAUUAAAUAUUAAAGCUUCGGCACUUGAUGAUGGGUGUGCGGCUGAUUAGAUAGUUGGCGGGGUAACGGCCCGCCAAGUCUACGGUCAGUAGCUGAUGUGAGAGCAUGAUCAGCCACACGGGCACUGAGACACGGGCCCGACUUCCUACGGGAGGCAGCAGUAAGGAAUAUUGGACAAUGGACGAAAGUCUGAUCCAGCCAUGCCGCGUGAAGGAUUAA
Molecule: ribosomal RNA, 389 nt
Filed under: uncultured bacterium
Lineage: Bacteria
Description: bacterial SSU rRNA
Rfam family: Bacterial small subunit ribosomal RNA
Source: RNAcentral